RNAcentral lists this ribosomal RNA (423 nucleotides) under uncultured bacterium. RNAcentral's name for it is "partial 16S ribosomal RNA". It matches the Rfam family "Bacterial small subunit ribosomal RNA", at positions 359 to 775 of the family's 1533-position model. The record is from RNAcentral.
GAAUAUUGGGCAAUGGGCGAAAGCCUGAUCCAGCCAUGCCGCGUGUGUGAAGAAGGUCUUCGGAUUGUAAGGCACUUUAAGUUGGGAGGAAGGGCAGUAAGCGAAUACCUUGCUGUUUUGACGUUACGGACAGAAUAAGCACCGGCUAACUCUGUGCCAGCAGACGCGGUAAUACAGAGGGUGCAAGCGUUGGUGGGAAUUACUGGGCGUAAAACGCGCGUAGAUGGUUCGUUAAGUUGGAUGUGAAAUCCCCGGGCUCAGCCUGGGAAAUGCAUCCAAAACUGGCGAGCUAGAGUAGGGCAGAGGGUGGUGGAAUUUCCUGUGUAGCGGUGAAAUGCGUAGAUAUAGGAAGGAACACAGUGGCGAAGGCGACCACCUGGGCUCAUACUGACACUGAGGUGCGAAAGCGUGGGGAGCAAACAG